This 848-nucleotide ribosomal RNA is filed under the name Staphylococcus microti. Its description in RNAcentral is "bacterial SSU rRNA". It matches the Rfam family "Bacterial small subunit ribosomal RNA", at positions 1 to 830 of the family's 1533-position model. Lineage: Bacteria; Bacillati; Bacillota; Bacilli; Caryophanales; Staphylococcaceae. The record is from RNAcentral.
UUUUAUGGAGAGUUUGAUCCUGGCUCAGGAUGAACGCUGGCGGCGUGCCUAAUACAUGCAAGUCGAGCGAACAGACGAGGUGCUUGCACCUCUGACGUUAGCGGCGGACGGGUGAGUAACACGUGGGUAACCUACCUAUAAGACUGGGAUAACUCCGGGAAACCGGGGCUAAUACCGGAUAACAUAUUGAACCGCAUGGUUCAAUAGUGAAAGACGGUUUUGCUGUCACUUAUAGAUGGACCCGCGCCGUAUUAGCUAGUUGGUGAGGUAACGGCUCACCAAGGCGACGAUACGUAGCCGACCUGAGAGGGUGAUCGGCCACACUGGAACUGAGACACGGUCCAGACUCCUACGGGAGGCAGCAGUAGGGAAUCUUCCGCAAUGGGCGAAAGCCUGACGGAGCAACGCCGCGUGAGUGAUGAAGGUCUUCGGAUCGUAAAGCUCUGUUAUUAGGGAAGAACAAACGUGUAAGUAACUGUGCACGUCUUGACGGUACCUAAUCAGAAAGCCACGGCUAACUACGUGCCAGCAGCCGCGGUAAUACGUAGGUGGCAAGCGUUAUCCGGAAUUAUUGGGCGUAAAGCGCGCGUAGGCGGUUUUUUAAGUCUGAUGUGAAAGCCCACGGCUCAACCGUGGAGGGUCAUUGGAAACUGGAAAACUUGAGUGCAGAAGAGGAAAGUGGAAUUCCAUGUGUAGCGGUGAAAUGCGCAGAGAUAUGGAGGAACACCAGUGGCGAAGGCGGCUUUCUGGUCUGCAACUGACGCUGAUGUGCGAAAGCGUGGGGAUCAAACAGGAUUAGAUACCCUGGUAGUCCACGCCGUAAACGAUGAGUGCUAAGUGUUAGGGGG